Molecule: long non-coding RNA, 1044 nt
Organism: Ahaetulla prasina
Lineage: Eukaryota; Metazoa; Chordata; Lepidosauria; Squamata; Colubridae
Exons: 3
Source: RefSeq, a predicted model, not a curated record
AGCUUCUGCAAAUCAUUUGGAGGGCGCCUUCCAUUUCAAUUUUGGAGACAGACUUAUUUUUGAGUUUGAUUCUCAGGUUUGCGAUGAUCCAGACACAUACUGCCCCGAUGGCCUUGCAGAAGAUAGCAUGCGCAUCUAUGAAAAUGGGAAAUCUUGCCCAAAAUGUUUCAGAACAGGUUACGAUAACUGUACAAGCAAAGGAGAAGUGCUUUGUAUGGGUGAUUUAGUGAACUGUAUUGAAGUGAAUGGAGAAAUAAGCAGUAUGCGAUCUGAUGCAAAAAUCCCUUUUGCUGGAAAAGGUUGUGUCAGCCGAUCGGUUUGUGACCUUGAAGGGAAGUCAGUCCAGCGUGGGACUUACAUAUUUACAUUUAAAAAGCUUCAGUGUUCUAAAGCCAACGUGGCUCUUCCAUUGUUGUAAUGCCUGGCUUUCACUCUGGAGAAGAAGGACCUUGGGCCUCAGGUGUCUUUCUUCCUUCCAUGCAUCCUUGGGAUCUUUCCUGUGAAAAUUCUCUCCAAAUUAAAUCAAAGGUAGCUGGCAAAGGUCUUAAGAAGGAUCAGGUUGGGGUCAGUCUCCCUCCCUUUAAGCACUGAUGAUGUUACCUAGUUUGGUAUCGAAACGUCUACAAGAAAACCACCAAGCUCACAGAACAUCGAGGAGCCCACAACUAAAUUUAUGCUGCAAAAAUUCUAUACCUCUCCGUUGCCACUCUUAAUGUCCUUCUCAAAGUUGCCAUCUAUCUAUAUUUUUUAACAGGAGAAAUUAUGGGCUAAAUUGGAAUUAUUAACUGCCGUCCAUGUAAGUUUUCAUCCCCUUAUUAUGGAAUUACAAUGAAUGUGGUAUAAAUGUCCUGCCCCAGCAAAUUUUGUGCCCCAUCUCCUGACAUGAGGUCGAGAAUCCCACCCAAAGGCUGCAAUUGCAAUUGUUGUCGAAAUAGACUAAUAUCCUUUGGUCAGUUUGAGACCACUGUUUGCAGGCAUUUUCUUUCUCUGGAAAAACAGCUUCAGCGUUUUUCUACCUUUCCGAAAUUGUAAUUCUCAUUGAUU